RNAcentral lists this unclassified non-coding RNA (370 nucleotides) under plant metagenome. RNAcentral describes it as "partial contains small subunit ribosomal RNA, internal transcribed spacer 1, and 5.8S ribosomal RNA". The record is from RNAcentral.
UUUCCGUAUGUGAACCUGCGGAAGGAUCAUUAACACGUUCCAAAACCUAAUCAACCAACCUGAGAACUAGUAAAGCUUCGCUCACAGCCAGUUGAUUCUCGCUAUGAUUGAAGCUGAUCUCAUUUCUAUGGCAUUGGCGUGUCUGCUUUCUGUAGCAUGUUUAAUCCAUAGAUUUGUUGAUCAUACUCUUUUUUAAACGCCCCUUCAUCAGCUUCUGCUUGCAGUAGCCUGACGAAUCAUAUUCUAUCAACUUCUACCAAUGCCUUCUUGUGUCGAUCAGCUGUUUUAUUACGGCCCGACCUUGUGCAUGGUUAGUAUAUCUAUACAUAAAAUCUAAGAACAACUCUUAGCAAUGGAUAUCUUGGUUCUC